AUGACGGAUCAACCGAUAAUCAGAGCAGAUCUUGAGGAAAUUACCAUGGCUUUUAUCGCGACUCUAACUGCUUUGACUGAACAAAUGGCGAAUUUAACAAACCAGGUGAACAACAACAACAAUGUAAAUCAGCGAAGAGACAAGGGAAGAGAACAUGUUAGGGUUCCACGAGAUGGAAACAAUCAUCACCUCAUCACGCUGUUAUUGCUGACAAUUCAAGUUCUGAAGAAGAAGAACAAGACGAAGAAGAGGUCGUUGAUCAUGGAAAUCAACAUAAUCACGAUUAUCGAGUGA
Non-coding RNA from Vicia faba (fava bean), 294 nucleotides. Lineage: Eukaryota; Viridiplantae; Streptophyta; Magnoliopsida; Fabales; Fabaceae. The record is from the annotation of a GenBank genome assembly.